This 23-nucleotide microRNA is filed under the name Caenorhabditis elegans. RNAcentral describes it as "cel-miR-238-3p". Its record names the gene cel-miR-238-3p. Lineage: Eukaryota; Metazoa; Nematoda; Chromadorea; Rhabditida; Rhabditidae. The record is from miRBase by way of RNAcentral. RNAcentral also lists the same sequence under 1 other name.
UUUGUACUCCGAUGCCAUUCAGA